CCGAGUUUUGAACUCUCUGAGUUCAACUCCCACCCUGUGUUUACACUGUCUUCUUCGGCAAGACGUUUUGAGGCGUCUUGUGGCGUGAUCAAGCCACUGGCUGUCUUUUACAGAGACAGCGAGUGAGAGCUUGCCGAAGGCUUUUUAACUCUAUCUCUUGAAGUCUGAGUCUAAAUACAAUAAGUUA
This 187-nucleotide unclassified non-coding RNA is filed under the name uncultured fungus. RNAcentral describes it as "sequence contains ITS1, 5.8S rRNA gene". The record is from RNAcentral. Lineage: Eukaryota; Fungi.